Molecule: transfer RNA, 102 nt
Filed under: Xylaria curta
Lineage: Eukaryota; Fungi; Ascomycota; Sordariomycetes; Xylariales; Xylariaceae
Description: tRNA-Arg
Rfam family: tRNA
About the family: Transfer RNA (tRNA) molecules are approximately 80 nucleotides in length. Their secondary structure includes four short double-helical elements and three loops (D, anti-codon, and T loops). Further hydrogen bonds mediate the characteristic L-shaped molecular structure. tRNAs have two regions of fundamental functional importance: the anti-codon, which is responsible for specific mRNA codon recognition, and the 3' end, to which the tRNAs corresponding amino acid is attached (by aminoacyl-tRNA synthetases). tRNAs cope with the degeneracy of the genetic code in two manners: having more than one tRNA (with a specific anti-codon) for a particular amino acid; and 'wobble' base-pairing, i.e. permitting non-standard base-pairing at the 3rd anti-codon position.
Source: RNAcentral
GGCCUCGUGGCCCAAUGGCAAGGCGUCUGACUACGAGAGUAAUUCAGAAAUGAAUCAUUCACGGUGAUCAGGAGAUUCUGGGUUCGACCCCCAGCGAGGUCA